CAGGGUAUAGUUUAUAGAAAAUAUUAAUUUUGGAGAUUAAUGAAAAGGGUGCAUCUUUACCUUGA
RNAcentral lists this transfer RNA (65 nucleotides) under Trigonopterus sp. 3 AH-2016. RNAcentral describes it as "tRNA-Pro". Lineage: Eukaryota; Metazoa; Arthropoda; Insecta; Coleoptera; Curculionidae. The record is from RNAcentral.